This 202-nucleotide long non-coding RNA is filed under the name Mytilus galloprovincialis (Mediterranean mussel). The record is from RNAcentral. Lineage: Eukaryota; Metazoa; Mollusca; Bivalvia; Mytilida; Mytilidae.
GGAUGAUGAAAAAAAUAAUGUAAUCUACAAAGUCAAGUGUGUGUCUAUUGUUAGUUUAAACAUAUUUAUUAAUAGUGGAUUGGAAAUUUUCUCACCGGAACGGGGAUCGAAACAGGAACUUAUGUUUUGUAUAGUCCGAUGCACUAACCUAUGUUACUUUUGUAUAAUGAGGAUCAAUGGUCUUGUUCCUCGUUGAAGACCC